RNAcentral lists this transfer RNA (89 nucleotides) under Pseudobacter ginsenosidimutans. RNAcentral's name for it is "tRNA-Leu". It matches the Rfam family "tRNA". From Rfam's summary of the family: Transfer RNA (tRNA) molecules are approximately 80 nucleotides in length. The record is from RNAcentral. Lineage: Bacteria; Pseudomonadati; Bacteroidota; Chitinophagia; Chitinophagales; Chitinophagaceae.
ACCCCGGUGGCGGAAUCGGUAGACGCGAAGGACUUAAAAUCCUUUUUCCCGAAAGGGAAGUGCAGGUUCAACUCCUGUCCGGGGUACAA